GAUCUGGCUCAGGAUGAACGCUGGCAGCGUGCUUAACACAUGCAAGUCGAGCGAAGCACUUAGGAAAGAUUCUUCGGAUGAUUUCCUAUUUGACUGAGCGGCGGACGGGUGAGUAACGCGUGGGUAACCUGCCUCAUACAGGGGGAUAACAGUUAGAAAUGACUGCUAAUACCGCAUAAGACCACAGCACCGCAUGGUGCAGGGGUAAAAACUCCGGUGGUAUGAGAUGGACCCGCG
RNAcentral lists this ribosomal RNA (237 nucleotides) under uncultured bacterium. Its description in RNAcentral is "partial 16S ribosomal RNA". It matches the Rfam family "Bacterial small subunit ribosomal RNA", at positions 15 to 235 of the family's 1533-position model. The record is from RNAcentral.